RNAcentral lists this ribosomal RNA (402 nucleotides) under uncultured prokaryote. Its description in RNAcentral is "bacterial SSU rRNA". It matches the Rfam family "Bacterial small subunit ribosomal RNA", at positions 355 to 774 of the family's 1533-position model. The record is from RNAcentral.
UAGGGAAUAUUGGUAAUCUGGGAAACCGGGAACCAGCAACGCCGCGUGUGCGAUGAAGGCCUUCGGGUUGUAAAGCACUUUUUGAGGGGAUGAGGAAGGACAGUACCCUCAGAAUAAGCCUCGGCUAACUACGUGCCAGCAGCCGCGGUAACACGUAGGAGGCGAGCGUUAUUCGGAUUUACUGGGCGUAAAGCGCGUGCAGGCGGCUCGAUAAGUUGGAUGUGAAAGCUCCCGGCUUAACUAGGGGAGGUCGUUCAAAACUAGGCAACUAGAGAGCAGAAGAGGAAAGCAGAACUCCUGAUGUAGCGGUGGAAUGCUCAGAUAUCAGGAAGAAUACCAGUGGCGAAGGCGGCUUUCUGGUCUGCACCUGACGCUGAGAGGCGAAAGCCAGGGGAGCGAACG